Molecule: ribosomal RNA, 1406 nt
Filed under: Enterobacter cloacae subsp. dissolvens
Lineage: Bacteria; Pseudomonadati; Pseudomonadota; Gammaproteobacteria; Enterobacterales; Enterobacteriaceae
Description: bacterial SSU rRNA
Rfam family: Bacterial small subunit ribosomal RNA
Source: RNAcentral
UGCGAGUCGACGGUAGCACAGAGAGCUUGCUCUCGGGUGACGAGUGGCGGACGGGUGAGUAAUGUCUGGGAAACUGCUGAUGGAGGGGGAUAACUACUGGAAACGGUAGCUAAUACCGCAUAACGUCGCAAGACCAAAGAGGGGGACCUUCGGGCCUCUUGCCAUCAGAUGUGCCCAGAUGGGAUUAGCUAGUAGGUGGGGUAACGGCUCACCUAGGCGACGAUCCCUAGCUGGUCUGAGAGGAUGACCAGCCACACUGGAACUGAGACACGGUCCAGACUCCUACGGGAGGCAGCAGUGGGGAAUAUUGCACAAUGGGCGCAAGCCUGAUGCAGCCAUGCCGCGUGUAUGAAGAAGGCCUUCGGGUUGUAAAGUACUUUCAGCGGGGAGGAAGUGUGUGGUUAAUAACCACAGCAAUUGACGUUACCCGCAGAAGAAGCACCGGCUAACUCCGUGCCAGCAGCCGCGGUAAUACGGAGGGUGCAAGCGUUAAUCGGAAUUACUGGGCGUAAAGCGCACGCAGGCGGUCUGUCAAGUCGGAUGUGAAAUCCCCGGGCUCAACCUGGGAACUGCAUUCGAAACUGGCAGGCUGGAGUCUUGUAGAGGGGGGUAGAAUUCCAGGUGUAGCGGUGAAAUGCGUAGAGAUCUGGAGGAAUACCGGUGGCGAAGGCGGCCCCCUGGACAAAGACUGACGCUCAGGUGCGAAAGCGUGGGGAGCAAACAGGAUUAGAUACCCUGGUAGUCCACGCCGUAAACGAUGUCGAUUUGGAGGUUGUGCCCUUGAGGCGUGGCUUCCGGAGCUAACGCGUUAAAUCGACCGCCUGGGGAGUACGGCCGCAAGGUUAAAACUCAAAUGAAUUGACGGGGGCCCGCACAAGCGGUGGAGCAUGUGGUUUAAUUCGAUGCAACGCGAAGAACCUUACCUGGUCUUGACAUCCACAGAACUUUCCAGAGAUGGAUUGGUGCCUUCGGGAACUGUGAGACAGGUGCUGCAUGGCUGUCGUCAGCUCGUGUUGUGAAAUGUUGGGUUAAGUCCCGCAACGAGCGCAACCCUUAUCCUUUGUUGCCAGCGGUUAGGCCGGGAACUCAAAGGAGACUGCCAGUGAUAAACUGGAGGAAGGUGGGGAUGACGUCAAGUCAUCAUGGCCCUUACGACCAGGGCUACACACGUGCUACAAUGGCGCAUACAAAGAGAAGCGACCUCGCGAGAGCAAGCGGACCUCAUAAAGUGCGUCGUAGUCCGGAUUGGAGUCUGCAACUCGACUCCAUGAAGUCGGAAUCGCUAGUAAUCGUAGAUCAGAAUGCUACGGUGAAUACGUUCCCGGGCCUUGUACACACCGCCCGUCACACCAUGGGAGUGGGUUGCAAAAGAAGUAGGUAGCUUAACCUUCGGGAGGGCGCUACCA